AGGCCCCCGGAAGACUACCGGGUUGAUAGGCGGCAGGUGUAAGCGCAGCAAUGCGUUUAGCCGAGCCGUACUAAUAGGCCGAGAGGCUUAACCAC
This 95-nucleotide ribosomal RNA is filed under the name Caldifarciminota bacterium. RNAcentral's name for it is "partial 23S ribosomal RNA". It matches the Rfam family "Bacterial large subunit ribosomal RNA", at positions 2831 to 2925 of the family's 2925-position model. Lineage: Bacteria; Pseudomonadati; Caldifarciminota. The record is from RNAcentral.